RNAcentral lists this microRNA precursor (67 nucleotides) under Bombyx mori (domestic silkworm). Its description in RNAcentral is "mir-2774 microRNA precursor family". It matches the Rfam family "mir-2774 microRNA precursor family". The record is from Rfam by way of RNAcentral. Lineage: Eukaryota; Metazoa; Arthropoda; Insecta; Lepidoptera; Bombycidae.
ACAACAUUCGGACCGUCGCUCUACCGAGCAAUAUCACCCGUUCGGUGGAAGAUCUUCCCUCCGUCGU